CAUGGAGGGUGAGAAUCCCGUUCAUGGUUAAUCUUAAGGAUGCUCUACGAUACGUUCUCCAAGAGUCGAGUUGUUUGGGAUUGCAGCUCAAAAUGGGAGGUAAAUUUCUCCUAAGGCUAAAUAUUGGCGAGAGACCGAUAGCGAACAAGUACCGUGAGGGAAAGAUGAAAAGAACUUUGAAAAGAGAGUUAAACAGUACGUGAAAUUGUUGAAAGGGAAACGAUUGAAGUCAGUCAUACUAACGGGAAAUCAACCUCUUGAGUUUGGUCUCGUGGGUUUCGAAGAGUUUUAAAAGCCUUCGGAUUUUCGAGAUUGGGCUCUUCUGGUGUACUUUCUCGUACGGUUAGUCAACAUCGGUUUUGAAUGUCAUAAAAUGACUGGAGGAAUGUGGCUUCGAUCUCGUAUUGAAGUGUUAUAGCCUUUGGUAGAUGUGAUGUUUGAGACCGAGGAUUGCAACGGAUACCCUUCUGGGCUAUUCGUCUGAUCUCUGAAACGUUGCCUUGAUGUCGAAAGCUUGCUUAUGAUGUUAGGGUAUUACGGUCAAAAGGUUAGAACGGAUUAAAUUCGUUAAGGAUGUUGACGUAAUGG
This 588-nucleotide ribosomal RNA is filed under the name uncultured Funneliformis. RNAcentral's name for it is "LSU rRNA". It matches the Rfam family "Eukaryotic large subunit ribosomal RNA", at positions 204 to 637 of the family's 3401-position model. Lineage: Eukaryota; Fungi; Glomeromycota; Glomeromycetes; Glomerales; Glomeraceae. The record is from RNAcentral.